This 103-nucleotide microRNA precursor is filed under the name Marmota monax (woodchuck). The record is from RNAcentral. Lineage: Eukaryota; Metazoa; Chordata; Mammalia; Rodentia; Sciuridae.
AGAGGGAUAGCUGGGUCAAAUGGUGGUCCCAUUCCAAGAUUUCCAAGGAAUCUCCAUACUGCUUUCUAUAUUGGCUGUACCAAUUUACAGUCCCACCAGCAAU